RNAcentral lists this long non-coding RNA (1775 nucleotides) under Gopherus agassizii (Agassiz's desert tortoise). RNAcentral's name for it is "lncRNA (ENSGAGG00000008472.1)". Lineage: Eukaryota; Metazoa; Chordata; Testudines; Testudinidae. The record is from RNAcentral.
CUGCACACGGGUGGGCUGUGAUUCCUCUCAAAGCCCCAAGGAGGCCACGUUUCCAGCUAAAUGUUGCCCACAGAAAGGACUCUUGCUUUUGUUCCCAGUGGGGAACACUGGAAUUUCCUCACCUGCAUAAAGCCAACAGGCCAGCCGGUCCUGUUGUUUGGAUCUGACUGCGGCCAAUGUCAUGUGCUUCAGGGGAAGGUGGAAAACCUACAUGAUUCAUCGAACUGUGAAAAAGCAGCUGCUGCAGCGAGUCAGUCCUGAUCCCCUCUGAGGAUCAGUUUACACCUUGAAGCAUGAGAAUUGAUUUCUUUUAUGGUUUUAUCUUAGUUAGUGUCACUAGACCCAACUGCCCCUGCCCCACUAUCCCUGCAGCAAAUUGCUGGCAUGGAGCGAGGAGUUAAAAGGAGGAGACAUAGCCUAAUGCAGGGAUGACCCAGAAGUAGUGCAGAGCUCUGCUUCUCCUGCUGUGAGAGAAGGCUGCUUACAGCCCAGAGACUGGGGUAGCUUGCUGGGUGAAUAAGGGAUGAAUCGACCCUUAGGAGAAUGGCUGGAAUACUGGUUAUUGGAAAACAAGCCUUAAACAGAAGGGUGGGGUCCUGCUCAAGGUUUGCUGCAUUUCCCUGUUUUGAGUUGUGUUUUGUCCUGAUUUCUUUGAACCUUAAUACCCUGGAAAGGACUGAAGUGUGCCUCGGCUGGAGGGUUAAUGCACUCCUACGUCGGNUACCCUGGAAAGGACUGAAGUGUGCCUCGGCUGGAGGGUUAAUGCACUGCUACGUCGGACUCUGUGACAGACAGUGACCUACCAGCGGAAACCUGUGGCUGGACAAAGACAACUGCAAGCAGCACCCAUACUCCAGAACUCGCUGAGCAAAGGGCCCAAGAACAACCUGAUGUGCCUCCUUGAACCUUGCAAGCUCGAUAUGUGAGGGAAAGGAGCUGUGUCCCCCAUCUGGCAUUUUUUACAGGGGAACCCUACCAGUACCUCCACCACUGUCCAUGGACACCUGCAAGGGAGGAGUCUCACACAACAUGGAGGAGGAUUUUGUGGAUGAGGAAGAGGAGGAGGAUGAUGCCCAGCAGGCAAGUGGAGAAUCCNCUCACACAACAUGGAGGAGGAUUUUGUGGAUGAGGAAGAGGAGGAGGACGAUGCCCAGCAGGCAAGUGGAGAAUCCAUUCUCCCCGGUAGCCAGGACCCUUUCAUCACCCUCCCAAGGUGGGUUUCCAGACCCUGAAGGUGGAGAAGACACCUUUGGAGCAAAUGUUCCUAUGCUCCCUGUAUCAUCUCUAUCCCUGAGGUUAUUGCUGAUUAGAAGGCGAAAAACACACUCAUGAUGACAUGUUUUCAGAGUUCAUGCAGUCCUCCCGCACUGAUAGGGCACAGCUGAAUGCAUGGAGGUAUUCAGUAAGUGUGAUCAGAACAUGCAGGAGGAGAUGCUGAGGCUAAUGGAGGAGCAAACAGACAUGAUCAGGAAUAUGGUGGAGCUGCAGGAAAGGCAACAAGAGCACAGACAGCUGCUGCAUCCAUUGUAUAACGGCCUGCCCUCGUCCCCAAGUUCCAUAUUCUCCUCACCCAGGUGCUCAAGAAUGUUGGGGUGGGGGAGGCUCUGGGCACCCAGCCUCUCCACUCCAGAGGAUGGCCCAUUCAACCAGUUUUGAUUUGUAGUGUGGCUACAUUAAGCAAUGUGGCCUUGCCUUCCCUCCUCCCCCGCCCCACCUGGGCUACCUUGUCAGUGAUCUCACUUUUUUAAAAAUAAAGACUGCAUGGAUUCAAAACA